RNAcentral lists this ribosomal RNA (253 nucleotides) under uncultured Bifidobacterium sp. RNAcentral describes it as "partial 16S ribosomal RNA". It matches the Rfam family "Bacterial small subunit ribosomal RNA", at positions 524 to 776 of the family's 1533-position model. The record is from RNAcentral. Lineage: Bacteria; Bacillati; Actinomycetota; Actinomycetes; Bifidobacteriales; Bifidobacteriaceae.
UACGUAGGUGGCGAGCGUUAUCCGGAUUUAUUGGGCGUAAAGGGCUCGUAGGCGGUUCGUCGCGUCCGGUGUGAAAGUCCAUCGCUUAACGGUGGAUCCGCGCCGGGUACGGGCGGGCUUGAGUGCGGUAGGGGAGACUGGAAUUCCCGGUGUAACGGUGGAAUGCGCAGAUAUCGGGAAGAACACCGGUGGCGAAGGCGGCCUUCUGGGCCAUCACUGACGCUGAGGCGCGAAAGCUAGGGGAGCAAACAGG